RNAcentral lists this ribosomal RNA (253 nucleotides) under uncultured bacterium. Its description in RNAcentral is "partial 16S ribosomal RNA". It matches the Rfam family "Bacterial small subunit ribosomal RNA", at positions 524 to 776 of the family's 1533-position model. The record is from RNAcentral.
UACGUAGGGUGCAAGCGUUGUCCGGAAUUAUUGGGCGUAAAGAGCUCGUAGGCGGUCUGUCGCGUCGGCUGUGAAAUCCCGAGGCUCAACCUCGGGCCUGCAGUCGAUACGGGCAAACUGGAGUGUUGCAGGGGAGACUGGAAUUCCUGGUGUAGCGGUGAAAUGCGCAGAUAUCAGGAGGAACACCGGUGGCGAAGGCGGGUCUCUGGGCAACAACUGACGCUGAGGAGCGAAAGCAUGGGGAGCAAACAGG